RNAcentral lists this unclassified non-coding RNA (334 nucleotides) under Hevea brasiliensis (rubber tree). Lineage: Eukaryota; Viridiplantae; Streptophyta; Magnoliopsida; Malpighiales; Euphorbiaceae. The record is from RNAcentral.
AAGCAACAUCAUCAAAAUAUAUAAGCAUCACUUGAAUAUUCAAAAAUCAUCUAAAUAUUCAAUUAUGUAAAAGUCAACCAAAUAUCCAAACAUCGUCUAAAUAUAUAUCCGACCAUCAUCCAAAUAACAAAGUUAAUAAUAAAUGUUUAAAUUGUAAAUAUGUGCUUCACAACAGAAUUGUGUUCCAUAAGAUUAUUGAUGAAGUUGUAGCAUUGAAUAUGUGUCGGUUUAGGUGUAGGUUUAGCGCUUUAUAUUUGUACUCUAUAAAUGAAACUAUGUAGUUUUAAUAUAUAAAUAACAUAACAGGUUUAAGUGGGUUAAAAUAAACUUGUUA